This 242-nucleotide ribosomal RNA is filed under the name uncultured bacterium. Its description in RNAcentral is "partial 16S ribosomal RNA". It matches the Rfam family "Bacterial small subunit ribosomal RNA", at positions 796 to 1041 of the family's 1533-position model. The record is from RNAcentral.
CACGCAGUAAACGAUGAUUACUAGGAGUUUGCGAUAGACAGUAAGCUCCCGAGCGAAAGCGUUAAGUAAUCCACCUGGGGAGUACGCCGGCAACGGUGAAACUCAAAGGAAUUGACGGGGGCCCGCACAAGCGGAGGAACAUGUGGUUUAAUUCGAUGAGACGCGAGGAACCUUACCCGGGAUUGAACGUAAGGGGAAUAAUGUCAAAAGAUGUUAGCUAGCAAGAGCCACUUACGAGGUGC